This 70-nucleotide transfer RNA is filed under the name Holothuria leucospilota. RNAcentral describes it as "tRNA-Val". It matches the Rfam family "tRNA". Rfam says of the family: Transfer RNA (tRNA) molecules are approximately 80 nucleotides in length. Their secondary structure includes four short double-helical elements and three loops (D, anti-codon, and T loops). The record is from RNAcentral. Lineage: Eukaryota; Metazoa; Echinodermata; Holothuroidea; Aspidochirotida; Holothuriidae.
CAAAGUAUAGCUAAGUAGAAAGCAUCUCUUUUACACGGAGCAUAUCCCUGUGCGAUUCAGGUUACUUUGA